GCACAAGCGGUGGAGCAUGUGGUUUAAUUCGACGCAACGCGAAGAACCUUACCUGGGCUCGAAAUGUACCGGAAUCCGGCAGAAACGUCGGCGUCUAGCAAUAGACCGGUAUAUAGGUGCUGCAUGGCUGUCGUCAGCUCAUGUCGUGAGAUGUUGGGUUAAGUCCCGCAACGAGCGCAACCCUUAUCUCCAGUUGCUACCAUUUAGUUGAGCACUCUGGCGAAACCGCCUCGGAUAACGGGGAGGAAGGUGGGGAUGACGUCAAGUCCUCAUGGCCUUUAUGUCCAGGGCUACACACGUGCUACAAUGGCCGGUACAAACCGCUGCAAACCCGCGAGGGGGAGCUAAUCGGAAAAAGCCGGCCUCAGUUCGGAUUGGAGUCUGCAACUCGACUCCAUGAAGCUGGAAUCGCUAGUAAUCGUGGAUCAGCAUGCCACGGUGAAUACGUUCCCGGGC
RNAcentral lists this ribosomal RNA (456 nucleotides) under uncultured bacterium. Its description in RNAcentral is "bacterial SSU rRNA". It matches the Rfam family "Bacterial small subunit ribosomal RNA", at positions 923 to 1379 of the family's 1533-position model. The record is from RNAcentral.